GACGAACGCUGGCGGCGUGCUUAACACAUGCAAGUCGAACGGAAAGGCCCCUUUGGUGGUACUCGAGUGGCGAACGGGUGAGUAACACGUGAGUAACCUGCCCUUGACUUCGGGAUAACUUCAGGAAACUGGGGCUAAUACCGGAUAGGAAUCCUUGCUGCAUGGUGGGGGUUGGAAAGCUUCGGCGGUUUUGGAUGGACUCGCUGCUUAUCAGCUUGUUGGUGGGGUAGUGGCUUACCAAGGCUUUGUCGGGUAGCCGGCCUGAGAGGGCGACCGGCCACAUUGGGACUGAGAUACGGCACAGACUCCUACGGGAGGCAGCAGUGGGGAAUAUUGCACAAUGGGCGGAAGCCUGAUGCAGCAACGCCGCGUGCGGGAUGACGGCCUUCGGGUUGUAAACCGAUUUCAGCAGGGGCGAAGCUUGUGGUGACGGUACCUGCAGAAGAAGCACCGGCUAACUACGUG
This 465-nucleotide ribosomal RNA is filed under the name uncultured bacterium. RNAcentral describes it as "partial 16S ribosomal RNA". It matches the Rfam family "Bacterial small subunit ribosomal RNA", at positions 28 to 507 of the family's 1533-position model. The record is from RNAcentral.